GCGACAUGGCGCACCAAAACAACAUGCAACUUUCAAAACAUGCCGUUAGGAUGUUUAAACGGUACUAAAUAUACGCAUUACUAUGCAGAUGUUAAAAGAACAGAUAAGUAGAGCGAAUGGACUUGAACGAAGGAUCCAUGUUCACAUGAGAACAAGUCUUUACUGUGUCAAGUCUUUACUCAUUCUACAGAAACCUCCCAACACAAGAGCAAUAGUGCUUUUAGAAGAAUGUUAUAGCAUGAAAGAUCCAUUUAGCCCAGAGAGAGAAACAUUCCUCGUUUUAGGAUCAAAGUGCUCAAAGUAGGUCAGAUGGUGUGUGUUGGCACGGACUGCAGUCUGUUCUACACCAAAUGCUUUUGUUUGCCGUGUGCAGGAUCACCUCCAACAGUUUCCAGAACUGAUUUAAAAUGAGCUGGCAAAGAAAAAGAAUAUCCAUAAGACAUCCUCUUCAUAAUGUUCAAGUAGAUUUAACUGCACACACAUCUACAACCAGAGGCAGCAAAGUCACAUCACAUCCAUCGUUGGGAUUUGCAUGUCAUUCUUCUAAUCUGAUAGAGUGUUUCUGUUAGACUUUGUCUGAAACUUUUAUCCAAAGUGACUUACAUUGCAGUCAAGUUUCAGAUCUACAAUAAAUGUGUUCCCUGGGACUUGAAGAAUGAUCUUUGCAUUGUUAGUGCCAUGCUCUACCAGUUGAGCUAUAGAAACAGUUUUCAUUAAGACUUAAGCAGGCAGGAACUGUGUAACUACCUUUCUUGCAUUUCCCAAAUGUAUAAUACAUGUUUAACUUUAAUUGAAAAAAGAACAAGAGAAAUGAGAUCACGACAUGAUGCAGGCAAGACUUGAACCCAUGCUCUCAAAGGAGCAUUAAACUUUGACGUGUCUGAAGUCUGUGCACUAUCACUAUACCACAAGGCAGACUGUGUCUGGCUAGCUCUGCUAUAAAGUUUUGGCAUGCAUUAAACUGCGUUUGCUUAAAUUCAAAUUUGUAUGUCAAAAAUAAGUUCCUUCACAUUCAGAGGUAAGAGAUCUAUGGCUCACUGGUAUGAGCAUUGCCUCAUGUGUCAGAGGUUGCUGGUUCAAAUCCCAGCUGGAUCUCAGAAAUAAAAGUGCUGUGAUGAGUGGAGUUGUGUGGUGAAGGGUGCACCCAAAGAAGGGGGGGGACUGUUAGUUGGUCCCCCCCCGGCUCCUGGAGUGAUGAACAGCAGUGGUUAUGAAACAAGACACUUUAUUUUAAGUGUCUUUAAAACAGAUUACUUGAAUGUGCUUAAUUCUUGACAAACAUGCUAUCCACUACAGAUGCAAUGUUUUCUCCAAUACUACUGACUACAGUCCCCCAAUAGUGUAGUGGGCAGCACAGCUGCUAUGUGUUCUUUUGACAGAAAGAUUGUGAG
Long non-coding RNA from Xyrauchen texanus (razorback sucker), 1391 nucleotides. RefSeq lists it as uncharacterized. The transcript has 3 exons. NCBI's taxonomy places the organism in Eukaryota, Metazoa, Chordata, Actinopteri, Cypriniformes, Catostomidae. The record is from RefSeq and is a predicted model, not a curated record.